UACGGAGGGUGCAAGCGUUAUCCGGAUUCACUGGGUUUACAGGGUGUGUAGGCGGGCUGUUAAGUCAGUGGUGAAAUCUCCAGGCUCAACCUGGAAACUGCCAUUGAUACUAUCAGUCUUGAAUUUUGUUGAGGUAGGCGGAAUACGUCAUGUAGCGGUGAAAUGCUUAGAUAUGACAUAGAACACCGAUUGCGAAGGCAGCUUACUAAGCAAAUAUUGACGCUGAGGCACGAAAGCGUGGGGAUCAAACAGG
Molecule: ribosomal RNA, 253 nt
Filed under: uncultured bacterium
Lineage: Bacteria
Description: partial 16S ribosomal RNA
Rfam family: Bacterial small subunit ribosomal RNA
Source: RNAcentral